Molecule: small nuclear RNA, 106 nt
Filed under: Dasypus novemcinctus (nine-banded armadillo)
Lineage: Eukaryota; Metazoa; Chordata; Mammalia; Cingulata; Dasypodidae
Source: RNAcentral
GGACUCACUUCAGGAGCAUAUACACUAAAAUUGGAACAACAUACCAAAGAUUAGUGUGAUCCUGCACAGGCAUGGCUUGCAAAUUCAUGAAGUGUUCCAUAUUUUU